RNAcentral lists this long non-coding RNA (1070 nucleotides) under Homo sapiens (human). RNAcentral's name for it is "HSALNT0263216". Lineage: Eukaryota; Metazoa; Chordata; Mammalia; Primates; Hominidae. The record is from RNAcentral.
AGCGGGGAAGGAAAGGAGGAAAAACAACAACAACAAAAGCCACGACAGAGAACGGGAAAAGGCAGAGACUGAAAGCGAAGGACCGUCGGAGGAGGAGGGCGAGAUGCGGAGGGUGCGGCCAGCGCGGUACCCGCCCCGGCGAGGCGCUGGGGAGGCCCGGGUGGGGAGAAGAAAUGGGGCCUGGGGGACGGUAGGAGCCUCCGUGCGGAGACCACUGUUCAAGGCCACAGGGACGCGAGCCUGCUUCCAUCUGACGCUGGACGCUUGUCCCUGCCCCGCGUUGCCUUUUAAAUUUUAGCUCAUUCCGAGACACCUGCCGUCAACGGCGUCGUGAGCAUGGGCGAUGGGAGGGGGCGCUGAGGCCUCGCCCUUGGGAAGCAGGAGCUGGGAGGUGCCCGGAUUAGGGUCUUUAAGACAUUUAUGCAGUGUGUGAUUCUUUCUAAAACAACUCCCUGGAAGAGAGGACAUUUAAUUCAACAAUUUAUUGGCCACCUACUGUGCACCAGGCAGUGAACUUGGAACUGGGGCUACUGGGUUACAGCAGUGACCAAGACAGAGGUCCCUGUUCUUAAGGAGCAAGUGAGGGCAACAGAAAAGAGCAGUCAGCUGUCAUGCGAGGGCACUCAAGCAGCCCUGUGGAAAGCUCUACGUGGUGAGAAACUGAAGCCUCCUGCCAACACCAACAAGGAACUGAGACCUACUUCCAACAGCCAUCUGAGUGAUCGAUCCAUCCUGGAAUCAGAUCCUCCAGCCCCAGUCAAGUCUUCAGAUGACUGCAGCCCUGACCAGCAUCUCAACUGCAACCUCGUGAAUGACCCUGAGCCAGAACCAUGCAACUAAACUCUGCGUGGAUUCAUGACCCACAGAAACUGUGAGAUGGUAGCUGUUUGCUUUGUUAAGCCUCUAAGUCUGGAAAGAAUGUCUUAAGCAGUAGCAGACAAUGAACACAAGAUUAUUAUUCAGCUGUUGAAUUGGAAGAGGAGGGGAAGAAAAAAUUUUCAGAUCACAAAAUAUUCAUUGUGUAAAACUUCAAAAAUUCUGAAAUUUAAGGAAAAAAUAUCAUUUGUUGG